This 254-nucleotide ribosomal RNA is filed under the name uncultured bacterium. RNAcentral describes it as "partial 16S ribosomal RNA". It matches the Rfam family "Bacterial small subunit ribosomal RNA", at positions 526 to 779 of the family's 1533-position model. The record is from RNAcentral.
CGGAGGGUGCAAGCGUUAAUCGGAAUUACUGGGCGUAAAGCGUGCGUAGGCGGUUCGUUAAGUCUGUUGUGAAAGCCCCGGGCUCAACCUGGGAAUGGCAAUGGAUACUGGCGAGCUAGAGUGUGUCAGAGGAUGGUGGAAUUCCCGGUGUAGCGGUGAAAUGCGUAGAGAUCGGGAGGAACAUCAGUGGCGAAGGCGGCCAUCUGGGACAACACUGACGCUGAGGCACGAAAGCGUGGGGAGCAAACAGGAUU